UUUAGGGGUAAACGGAAGAAAUCCGAAAAUUUGAAGGAAGUGAUUCACGUAAAAUCUAUAUUGUACUACAUUUGAUGAUUGAUGUUUAUUAAGCUCCUUGCAUGCAAUUUAUUGUAUGUUGAGGGUUCCGUUUAAUGGCACAAUUCUCAUUUGUAUUGAAUAUAAUAUGGUUUACCGCAUUUCAACCUUCCUUAUUUUAUAAAAACGUCGCGACCCAUUGAAUUCCAGUCUAAGAUAGAAUAGGCUAGUCCUAUAGAAGCAUAUUAUUUUAUUUUAAAAUAUUAUGUUUGUUUUAUAUGGACCUAUUCAAUUUAUCUGACUGAUUAUUCGAUGGUAGCAAAAAUUAAAAGAUUUACCCGUGCAUUGGCACGUUUUGAAUAUUUUUGUAAUUUUUUUUUUAUUUCAAUGUGAUUCUUUUAGUACGGACCUAAUGGCCCGUCUAAGAGUAAGCAUUGUUAACAAAAAUAUUCUCAAACUGAUGGUAAUCUUUGUCUGCGGCGAAUAUGUUUCGGAAUUUCGUCCGACCC
Molecule: ribosomal RNA, 527 nt
Filed under: Labia minor
Lineage: Eukaryota; Metazoa; Arthropoda; Insecta; Dermaptera; Spongiphoridae
Description: eukaryotic LSU rRNA
Source: RNAcentral